AAAGUUAUUUAUACCGGAUCAAUAAGCAUUAUUGUCGCGCAUUGCAUUUUUCCUUUUUCAUGUAUGGUUUACAUUAGUAUAAAAUAAAAUAUUUAUAGAAGAUAGGAAAAGAGUUUGAUUAAUUAUCAAGUAAGCUCAAGUUAAGCAAAAAAUGGAGUUGCAGCCGGCGCCGUCAUUAUCAUUUCCGGCUACGCGCGAAGAGGUCUUCGUAAGUCCUUCAAUUUCAAUAGAUUCCGACGGCGCGCGUGUAAAAGGAGUUUCUACUGCUAUGAGAGAAAUGCGAAGGCCAAUACACUUAGCCGCCGUGUUAUGGAGAGGGCUAUGAAUAUGAUAUGGAUAUGGUUAUUUGAACCUGAGAUAUUCGCUUGGAUUAUGGAAUUGUUGAUAGUGAUGCUUUCAACUGAUCAAUGAUUCUUUCAUGUUUAAGUAAGCCGUUGUGGUGGUGACAUUGAGUGGUGCUGCAUUAGGAUUUCAUAGGUGCUUUUGUGAAGGGAUAACGUUUUUUAGAUGAAUUCAGUUAUAUUUGGGUUACGGGAACGUAGGAGCUAUAAACUGGUACCGUUUAUCCAAAAAUGGUCCAGAUUGCAUAUCAUAUUCUGAAGAGCAUCUCAGAUUUAUGGUGACUAUGAAGUCAGUUAGUUUACUAUGACUUGGUUCUUCUUCUUCUUUCAGGUAAUGAUGGAGCUUGCUGCGUGGAGAUGCUCGAGAAGUUGAAAAUGAAGCAAGUUUUAUACAGAAUGAUGAACAACUGUUUUUUUCAUCUUAUAAACCGUAGGGUACACUCUUUAGUAAACUUUCAUUUAUAGUUAUAGUAGUUUCUCUUCUAGCACGCCGCAACUUUUUCCUCCUUCAUUUUUGUCAGGUGAGGCAAAAUGAUUCUGCAUCUACCUCUUUCUCUGCUUUGUGGCAUUUAUUCUCACGUACAUGAACAUCAACUAGUUGCUCUGUAUAAAAAGGGAAUCAGAGAGUCGGAAAUUAGCUGAAAAUAUCUCCAGAAAAUAACAUUAUUCUAACUGAAUGCUUGCUUGAGUUGAAAUCAUUUACUACUAUUUUUGAAUUGGGUGAGACACAUUUAUGAUUUUCUUAUAGGAGAAAUAGGAUUCCUCUGUUCAUUUGGUGAUAAAACUCACUUGGAAAGUUCUUCAGCUUUUCCCAUUCGUUGCAUCAGUAACCACCAGCUGCAACUGUUGAUUUGCUUUCUCGUCAUCUUUUUCGUCAUUCACCUUUAGAUACUGAUUUGGUUUAUCUGUGUCUGCCUCUUUCACCUGUAGAUGUAGCUCUGAUUUCUCGGAAUGAGUUUCCAGAUCCCAUUUCUGAGGUUGUUUUGCACUUCCCCUUUUCCUGUAUAUGCAGUAGAGGAAGAGCUGCAGGAUGCCUAGUGGGCUACCAACCAGAUUUGGAGACUGUAAAAUAAAAUCACAGGAAAUGCAGUCAGAAAAUGUUUUUGUUAUUUAUAUUAGUUGUUUUCCUUACAAAUAGACCUUAUAGUCACACUAACCGCAAGAAAAAGAUCAUGGCUUAACAGUCCAUAUGCCAUCCAUAGCGAACUUGCAAGAAAUGAGAAAAGUGACAGGUAGAACGGCAUAAAUUCCACGCUCUUCGUCUGUAUCACUUUUUUCUGACAUAAUUAGAAUAACUAUAUCAGAAAUAAAAUUUGAGAAGCAAAUGAGUAAUUUUAUCUGACCCUUCCAAGAAGAAUAUCAAAUUUCCCCAUUUUCUGUUUACUGGGCAUAGUAUAAUUGACAAAAGUACUCACCACAGCCACCAGUGGAGAACCAUACAUUGCCACAGAUGCUACCAGUCCUAUACUUCCAACAAACGCCUUGCGAUGAUGGUGAUCAUGGAAUACAAAUGCUGAUAGUAGUACAACUGAACAGGACAGCAGGAGAACAGGUAGAGUCAUCAUGGCCACCUUUUUCUGCAAUUUCAUUAAAGCUAUAUAUUAAUAAUGCUCGUCUUUCCACUACCUGUCAUGCAUGAAAUGUUGCACUUAAUUGAAUUUAGUUCAUGUUAACAGUUAACCAGACCAUACAUUUAUUCUUUCUAAAUACAUCUUCUAUUUGCUAGUGGCAUGAUUUGUAACUUGUCAGUUAAUUCAUGAAAAAGCGGAACUCAUUUUGCAAACAAGCAUGCAAGCUAAGAUUCACAUUUUGCUGCAUAUGAAGUGUAGAUGGUGAAGAAGCCAAAAACAAAAAAAAUAUUGAUAUUACAGGAUGUGAAAUGCUUUAUUAUUUGUGUAAGAUAACUUGCCUUUCCAUCGGUUGAAGCAUAGUAGAAAUAUAUCAGUAUGAAAGAUAUCUCCAGAAGAAUUCCUAGUCCAUUGAUGGUGACCACAGGAAAGUUCUCCCACUUGUAACUUACAACUGGCAAGCCAUACCAAGUGUAGAGGAAACAGUUCAACAGGGCCAUGAUAUAUGGAACGCACGAAUACUCUCCAGUGCUUUUUUUCCUUAUCACCUUAGAGAAAGUGAAUCUGAAAAUUUUAGACGUAGAUCAAGAUCAGACAUAACAUUGUUGCAUAUAUUCCGUUUAUGCAUGAAAACUUAAUUGUUCUAUAGUAACUUCUAAAAGUUUGAGUUUGAUUAAUAUUUUGGAUUAUCGUAAGUUGUGAAAUGGAAUAGAGAGUUUGUAGUUACAUUGGUGCAGCAUAAAGUAGCAUAGAGGCUGCAUUCCCUGCAAGAAAAAUCAAAAGACGUUUAAAACUCAAUGCUACAGAAAGUUUUACAUAUGUAAUGAGAAGGUUGAAGAGUUGGAGGCAGAAAAAGUUUACCCAAAAUGCCUACUGCUAUACGAAAUUUCUCUUCCAUAUUGUUUGAUGCUGAAUAACCAACCUACGAAGUGCUACUGCUGAUUAUUGUUGUUCUGUAGCUUUUUAUAAUCCGAAGAGGUAUAUAUAGUGCAAAGAAAGGAUGAAAGAAGAAUAACCCGCAGACAAUUGUAGCCUUGUAGGAAUAAGAGCAGAGUUGUCUGUAUUCCAGUGAACUUGUGGACUGAAAUAAUCAAUAUCAAAGUGAUGGAAAAAUAAAUAAAUCUGUGUGCUUGUAUCAUUAAAGAAUUAUUUUUGUUUCUUGAUUUUGUUUAAUAUAAAUAUUUUAGAAUAAUUUUAGUAUCUCUUAAUAAUAACGAGGCAGGAAAUAGACUAAACCAGAAAGAUAUAUAAAAGAAUAAGUUCCCAGUCUGGUUCUCUCCUGCAAGUGGAAGAUGUUACAAGACUUCCACUGUCCACUUAUAACAAUUGAGGUAAUCUUUUCAAUUCUAGUUUCCAGAUCUUUCCCUUAAUGGUGAAUAUACAAACCAAAAAAGAAAAGGUUACAAGUUCAUCUCAUCUGCUUUAUGUUCAUUACCAAUAGCAACAGUUGUGUUGAGCAUUUGGUGUGUCGAGAGUACUUUUUUUCAUACAAAUUGGUAGUUUUUCUGUUAAUCAUCAACCUUGCAUGUUUAACUGUCUCGCAACUCUUUAAGGUCAACACAUUGAUUCUAACCUUCUAUGUGAAACUAUAAUGUUAGUUUGGAGUAUCUUGUAAACCCUUAGGCAAAUAUGUGAAAGAAGAAAGUAACGCAGAAGAAGGGUUCUGGCUUAAAAAUAUAUGGUAUAUUGUACUGGACUACUUACAUUGAUAAAGAAUCUCUAAUUAUUUAAUGCUAUUUAAUGUUAGACAUGUUUAGCAAUCAACAUGGCUUCAUCUUCAAGACGACUGCUUCAUGACUCUUGUAAGUUUGUGUUGUUUGAGUGAUCACUGAUCAGGAGUUAUAGAACUGCCUUUCUGUAACAUUACUUUCAUAAUUUUCAAUAAUUUAUGUCAAGAUUUUUUACAUCGUACUGAUCAAAUAAUCAAAACUGAAACAAAUAAUAAAGAAAAUGCCAUAUUGCAAUGAACUACAAACUUUAAUCUUAAAACAUAAAAUUCAUGCAGAUAACUCAUUCAAAUAGUUGAAAAGAAAAGGCAACCUAGAAUCUAACACAGUAGUUAGUUUUGCCAAUCUGACUUCAAAGAUUAAGUGGUUCUUCUGAGGUCUUUUAAAUUUGCAAAUUCAGGGCAUCUAAAAAAGAAAAAGAAAAAAACAAAUUAAUAGGAAGAAUAUGUACUUGGAGAAAUGGCUGGGAGUCAAAUCUCUUAUGCAUGCAGAUGUAAAUCUGUUUCUCAGCAUUUGGAAAAGGCAGCUCCUGAUGAAAAAGGCCACUUUUAUGAUGGUGAGCUCACAUUUCCUUUUUGUUGUCUUCCAUUGUUUCUGCUAUCCACUAAAAAUUCUAUACACUUUGCCACAGUGGGAACUUAAUGCUUUAUUCUAUACAUUAAAUGAAUGUUAUUAUUUCCACCUUAUUAUCCCAAUAAACUUGUUUUUGAUGAUGCUUGCAUGUGAAGAGGGUAUCAUAACGUUGAUCGAUAUUCAACACACAUGGGACACACAAGAAUUUGGUUCUAAUUACAAAUUUCACCAAUCAAUGGUUCAAAGACUAUCGGACAUAUAUUCUCAAAUUUGACAGUCAUGAUGCAUGGUUGUGAGGUGAAGUUGUUGAAAACGUUAUUUUCUGACUAUUUGCUAAAGAAUGUUGGCUAUAUGCUGAUGCUCAUGGGAUGUAGCAAUGAGCACGUUGUCUAUAUUUCAGUAUUAUUGUUAUGUUUGUGUUCAAUAUGAGGUAUUAUACUCUAUCUGUGAUUCUCUAGAAUAUGCUUAUCGUCUAUGUUUGUUCGAUUCAACUAGAUUUACUAACUUUACACUCGAUUUGAACUAUUAGACAGGCUAUUGGCCAAAAGGAGAUCAAAUCAGCAGUCAAAUUUCUUCUUAUUUUCCACUUAUUCUUUCUUGAGAAGACUUCAAUCAGAGGAGAUCUAUCGAUUGUGUCCAAAAUAGACCAAUUUUUUCUCUAACAAAUGUUAAAAGUGUUUUGGUUGUGAAAUAAUCACUUCACUCGGAAUUUUAUUGAGAUUAAUUUGAGCUCAUUGUUGCUAAUGCAUGUUUCUCUCUC
This is a long non-coding RNA of Salvia miltiorrhiza (redroot sage), 4969 nucleotides long. RefSeq lists it as uncharacterized. NCBI's taxonomy places the organism in Eukaryota, Viridiplantae, Streptophyta, Magnoliopsida, Lamiales, Lamiaceae. The record is from RefSeq and is a predicted model, not a curated record. The transcript is spliced from 2 exons.